UAGCUAUGUAUGGACGGGAUAAGUGCUGAAAGCAUCUAAGCAUGAAGCCCCCCUCAAGAUGAGAUUUCCCAACUUCGGUUAUAAGAUCCCUCAAAGAUGAUGAGGUUAAUAGGUUCGAGGUGGAAGCGUGGUGACACGUGGAGCUGACGAAUACUAAUCGAUCGAAGACUUAAUCAAUUU
This 180-nucleotide ribosomal RNA is filed under the name Staphylococcus haemolyticus. Its description in RNAcentral is "partial 23S ribosomal RNA". It matches the Rfam family "Bacterial large subunit ribosomal RNA", at positions 2746 to 2925 of the family's 2925-position model. Lineage: Bacteria; Bacillati; Bacillota; Bacilli; Caryophanales; Staphylococcaceae. The record is from RNAcentral.